GCUUUUCCUUAUCUGUCUCUAAUACGUAGGUUUAUCUGGAGCCUGUCUUCCUGCAUUCUUGACGUAAAAAUGCACGAAGACAGGCCCAUCAGUUUAGUUUCUGCUCUCCUGAAAGAG
This is a non-coding RNA of Dendroctonus ponderosae (mountain pine beetle), 117 nucleotides long. The record is from Rfam. Lineage: Eukaryota; Metazoa; Arthropoda; Insecta; Coleoptera; Curculionidae.